AGAGUUUGAUCCUGGCUCAGGAUGAACGCUGGCGGCGUGCCUAACACAUGCAAGUCGAGCGAAGCGAUGUUAAGGAAGUUUUCGGAUGGAAUUAGAUUGACUUAGCGGCGGACGGGUGAGUAACGCGUGGGUAACCUGCCUUAUACAGGGGGAUAACAGUUAGAAAUGACUGCUAAUACCGCAUAAGCGCACGGGAACGCAUGUUUCUGUGUGAAAAACUGAGGUAGUAUAAGAUGGACCCGCGUCUGAUUAGCUAGUUGGUGGGGUAACGGCCUACCAAGGCGACGAUCAGUAGCCGGCCUGAGAGGGUGACCGGCCACAUUGGGACUGAGACACGGCCCAAACUCCUACGGGAGGCAGCAGUGGGGAAUAUUGCACAAUGGGGGAAACCCUGAUGCAGCGACGCCGCGUGAGUGAAGAAGUAUUUCGGUAUGUAAAGCUCUAUCAGCAGGGAAGAAGCAAGACGGUACCUGACUAAGAAGCCCCGGCUAACUACGUG
RNAcentral lists this ribosomal RNA (499 nucleotides) under uncultured Eubacteriales bacterium. RNAcentral describes it as "bacterial SSU rRNA". It matches the Rfam family "Bacterial small subunit ribosomal RNA", at positions 8 to 507 of the family's 1533-position model. Lineage: Bacteria; Bacillati; Bacillota; Clostridia; Eubacteriales. The record is from RNAcentral.